Molecule: ribosomal RNA, 484 nt
Filed under: uncultured bacterium
Lineage: Bacteria
Description: partial 16S ribosomal RNA
Rfam family: Bacterial small subunit ribosomal RNA
Source: RNAcentral
AUUGAACGCUGGCGGCAUGCUUUACACAUGCAAGUCGAACGGCAGCGCGGGCUUCGGCCUGGCGGCGAGUGGCGAACGGGUGAGUAAUGCAUCGGAACGUGCCCAGUAGUGGGGGAUAGCCCGGCGAAAGCCGGAUUAAUACCGCAUACGACCUGAGGGUGAAAGCGGGGGACCGAAAGGCCUCGCGCUAUUGGAGCGGCCGAUGUCGGAUUAGCUAGUUGGUGGGGUAAAGGCUUACCAAGGCGACGAUCCGUAGCUGGUCUGAGAGGACGACCAGCCACACUGGGACUGAGACACGGCCCAGACUCCUAAGGGAGGCAGCAGUGGGGAAUUUUGGACAAAGGGGGCAACCCUGAUCCAGCCAUGCCGCGUGCGGGAAGAAGGCCUUCGGGUUGUAAACCGCUUUUGUUCGGGAAGAAAUCCUCUGGGCUAAUACCCCGGGGGGAUGACGGUACCGGAAGAAUAAGCACCGGCUAACUACGUG